RNAcentral lists this long non-coding RNA (7726 nucleotides) under Musa acuminata (dwarf banana). Its description in RNAcentral is "long non-coding RNA (MACU_LNC003539)". The record is from RNAcentral. Lineage: Eukaryota; Viridiplantae; Streptophyta; Magnoliopsida; Zingiberales; Musaceae.
CAAGGAUUACAAUGGUAUAAUACUAUUUUUGAAAUCCAAUUUAUAGGUUGCUGGCAAUCUGAGUUGUAUUAUGGGAAAAGAAACUGAUAUCAUGUUUAAAGCAGCCCCAAAUUUGUAUGUGUGUGAUACAUAUUCGAUCACCUUAAUUUAUUUUGCAUUCUAUGCGUAAAUCAACCCAUUCAAUGAUGAAUCAAAAUGUCCAACAAAUACAACUAGAUUGCUUCUACUUGAUCACAUCUGCUACAGUGAUUAAGAUGGAAAGAAUGAUCAUGGAUCUGAUCAACUAAAGUUUGCAUCUCUAACUCAAACUUCUAUCUCAUACUAUAUAUAAUUAUGCUACUCCUUGCUAUGCUCCUGUGGAAAAAAAUUACAUAUUUUUAACCCAUUAGCUAACAUCUUGGUUUAUCAAGCAAACUCCAUCCUUGCCCAACUUUACUUUGGCCACGUAUCCAUCACUAUUUUAGAGGUGUCUUCUCAAAUCUGAGAUACAGCCUCAGAAAGUCAUCAGGAUAUAUAUAAAAUGAAACUCUAAUGAAAGUAUCAACAAACAAUUUUAACUAAAACUAAAAACACAUGGCUAUCAGGGACUCCAGAAAACUUCACACAAAAGAGAAUCACCUCUGUUGCUUCCUUCUUAGCAGAAGGGGCUUUCUUCUUCCUACCAAUCUCAACACCAUAGUGCUGAAGGUACCACUGCUUGAAUGGGGCAGCAUCAACCUGAAUAAUGGCACUCUUCACAAGGGUCUGUGUCCUCACAAGUUCGUUGUUUGAAGCAUUGUAGACCACAUCAAGGAUACGGGUUUUGCGAGUCACUGCCUCGCUCCCCCAUGAGUAAUUGCCAUGAUCCAAUCGGAGGGCCCUCCACUUCACGUUGCCUCCUCGAACUCGAAUCCUCCUCACGGUCUUGUUGCUCGAAAGCUUCGUACUGGCAGGCUGUCUUCCCAACUCGUACCUUUCGAGGCAAGACUAACAUUACAUCACGGCAAAACCAUCUCAAACAUAAUUAUCGGGAAAAAAACGAGUAAAAUACAAAUAGAAAGGAAAAAGAGAAACAUAUUAGUGGAUUCAAACAAAAUCCCCAACUUUUCAAGAGAAACCACCGAAAGCCUAACAGCAAAGAAUUUUCAGAGGCGCAGAGAUUCAAACAACGGAGGCUGGGGUGACUCGAUCGUACAUCCAUGAGAGCAAAAGUCCUAAUCUUUUCACAAUAUUAUGAAACAAAGAACUAACUUGUGCAGGAAAGCGAAUGCUACAAAUAAUCAACGCUUAAAGUGGACACAAACAGCUUCAAGCGAAAAUGUUUUGCAAGAAAAUAGAACAGAUUACAAAGAAGGAACUCACUUUCUCUUCUUCCGCCACGCCUUCUUCUUCCCUCCGGUGGCCCGCCUCUUGUGCAUGGAGUCUCGCGAGAUACCUGCGAGCAGGAGAGCAACGCCAUGGAUGGAAGUUGGGUAAAAGGAAAAACCCGAUCAGAUAUCAGCGUUUCCUACCGGAAUCGAGAAUCUAAGGUUCCGAUCCUUACCCAUGUUGGCCGGCGGUGGUGAGAAACACUGCGCCCUCUUCUUCUCUCCCGAAGUCCGCCGCCGCACUCCUCGGUUUCAGAGAUCUUCUCAGCAGCCCAAACCCUAGCCUUUUAUAUAGCGGGCAGAAUACGUUGGCUGCGAUGUAAUUAUAGCAAUUCCCAGGAGGGGCGCUAAAUCAGCCGUCGGAUCAAAACGUGUACGGCGUGAUCUUGAACUUCAACCCGAACCGUGAUGGGAGUUCGCAAGGUCGAACGAACCGGCCGGACUCAUCGAUCAAUGCAGCUAUCUGGUUUGGAAUUGGCUAACCCAAUUUGAUUGUUUGAAUGCAGCUAUAAUUGAAAUCAUUCUUCAUUUAAGUAAAAAAAUUUCUGAAUACUCUAUACAUAUAAUUCUUUGAAUUUAUAAGACUAUAUAGGAAUUCAAUGUUUUUGGGACCUUAGAAAUAUAUAUAUUUUUUUUAUUUAUUUAUGUUACUAGACUGUGUGUUGCUAAGACACCUCCUUUUAGUUUAUGGUUAACAAACAUAAACUGGUCAUUUGUAGCAUUCAUUAUUUUUCUUUAUAAGUGUAGAUAGCGUGAAUGAUGGUGGUGAAAGUAUUUUUGCUAUAUUAAAGUAUAUUAUAAUUGUCUGAUUAGAAUAUUCAUUCGGAGUUUAUUAUUAUGCAUGUUGCUUUCAUAUACAAGACCAUGUAUGAGCCCACUAUUACUAGCUCGAGAUAGAUCAAGUGACAACGGUUUAAGCUGGAUUAGUAUUCACUUUAAAAUUAGUGCCAUCAAAUAUGAUGCAGAUUGAUUGACAAGGCAAAAGGUCAAAAGUCACAACCACUAAUUAUAAAGAGGAUAUUUGGCUUGGGAUGAUUCAUAUUAUUUUAUGUGAUUGUUAGAAAUCAAAUAAUGAUGAGUAAGAGUCAAACUUAACAUUAUUUAAUGUGCCUAAACAAUUACAUAGCAAGAAAAAGAUGCCAUGACCCUGCAGACCAAGUGACUGGAAAUAAUUCCUGUGCAGUACAGAGCUUGAUUAGCCUGUUCCAACAGGAUACAGGGUCAAAUGCCUUACAGUACAACACAAAACCCGAGUAGCGGACAGAUGCUCGAAGAACCAACACCAAAUAACAACAAAUGCAGAAAACAACAAAUGCAAUGGCACCGAAGCAGACAAGCUAAUAAUAAUAAGUUCGUGCCUGAUUAAAGAUCAGGCAACCAUAUCCAACACAAAAAUUAGCUGUUGCCCCUAAAAAGCAUUAAUGAGAUGUGCAUAUUAACGCAAGCAUGCAACUUUCCCCAAGAACAGAGCAGCCUUCCCAAAACCUUUUCUUCGUGGUCCCCUGAACAUUGAACGAACAUCUAAAAGACAGUAAAGAACGAAGCAAGCAGAUAGCUCAUGACAUCUGUAAACCAUAACUAAAAAGAAAACGAAGGUUAUGUGAUCAGUGUCGAAUGGAUAUCACAUGGAACAUUAAUACUAUCAUCAAAAAUAUGAUGCGGUCGCCCCCUGUAAAAGUUGAGUCUUUCUAGUUUCCUGCAAAAGAAAAGGGGCUAAAGCAUCUCAAAUAUAAUAUCAACCGUCGGUGGCCGUGAGAAGCUUCGGCGGCAACCGUGACAACCGCCAUCCUAAAUAACAAGUCUUCAAGAUUAAGCAUAGAUGAGUUAGCGUAAACUGCUUCGCUACUGCUAAUGCCUCUAUUAGUUUUAAGUCCAGCUAUAAAUGCAUCCCUAAGGAAGUGAGAGGUUAGAGUCGACGGCCCGGAUCAAGCCUCGGGCUCGGGGCUCUUCUUCCCGACGGCCGCGAUGGCCCAGACGACACCGAACGGGUCCUUCACCUUCCCGAGAAGGCUGCCUUCCUCCUCCAACACCUCGCUCAUGACCUCCGCACCGGCAGCCACCGCCUUCUUCACGGCCGCGUCCACGUCCUCCGCCUCCAGCCGGAACGCGAUCCCACCGCCUCCAGCGGCCGCGGCACUCUCCUCUCCUCUGCCAUCACCACCGAAAUCACCAACCUAAUGAGAUCCCUAAAGAUCGGGGAGCUAGGGUUGAGUUGGGGGAAUGCCAGGGAUUACGCAGCGUCGAAGCAGUCGCUGACGAGGAUGAAGGAGGAGCCGAUCUUGAGCUCGGCGGAGAGGAUGAGGGGGCACUCCUGUUCCGCCUUGCGCUUCGGGUGCGUCACCCUCCCGAUCUCCUCCGCCCCGAAUGCCGCCUUGUAGAACUGCACAGCCGCCUCCGCCUUCAUCCCCGGCACAACCAGCUGCGGCUUGAAACCCAGCAACGCCACAUCCGCCAUCGCCUCGAGGAAGAAGAACGAUACCGAACCCUAGAAGAGAACGUGAAGGACAAAGCAGCGGCAGCGAAGUGAGAAGCAAAGAGGCUUCACAGGUCGGAAGUAUUUAUAGCAGAUGAAGGCCAUGAAACCGUUGGAAUACUUUCCAUUAAUUUAAUCGUCAUUCCACAACCGCCCAUGCUUUUAGCGUAAACUACGAGCCUGCCAUUCACCGAUUUGAACGGCUUCGCCUCAUGCUUUUCGUCCCUCCCGAGGCGUCCUCGUACACCGUAUCAAAAGCCGGUGGACUCGAAGGCAGCGAUGCUAGAUCUGAACCGUUCGUCGGAGUCUGUGCAAGUGAUCGGACGGACCGCAUUAGUGUCGGUCAAUGAAAGCGACCCGCGGCACGGAGGACGAGUAGGUGUGGUCUGUUUUAUUCUCCCGGGUAGGGGUAAAUUUGUAGUUUUCGGAUAAAUUGUAGGGGUAUUUAUGUAAAUCAAUGGCUUUGAUGGUGUCACGUUUUGUGUGAGGAGAGGGGCACCGGGGACGAAGGUCCUCAGGGAUUAAGGAUCUUCUUCAGAAUUAAUUUGAAUAGAACUGGAAUGACCGGCAUCGGAACCGUUCAUUGACGUUAGUUUUAAGAAUUGACGGUCGGAUCGAAGUUUUACUGAUGCAGUGGCUGGGGAGGAUCCGAUUGCACCUGUGGCGUGGACAUGCCCGCUUUAAGUUUCCGAAAGGCAGCAGCGGAUUUGUACUCCAAAAUCACGUCACCCGAUGUUGACCCAUGAGAGGUGCAGUGGGGCCCGUCGCCUGAAGGGAAAUAAGUGGUGUGGUAUUUCUGGAGUAACAGAUUCGGCGUUCCUUUUCUUAAUUUUCAUUAAACUAUCGCACUCUUUUGGCUUUGACUCAACUGUGUAACCCGCCUCCGCUGCGCGGGACCCACACUUUGCUCGUGCCGUGCAUUCGAUGGCCUGUGGAUGUGGGUCUCGCCAAGCUGUGUGGUUCGGCGGAACACAUACCUGGGGAGGUCCAGGUGGACCCCGACUGGAAUGAGUGGGGAGCUUUGGUACGAUUACAAACGUUACCCGCGGAUAAAAUAAUGUUCACAAUAAAUAAGUAGGUUUAAAAAAUAUAAUUUUUAAGAGAAAACAAAUAUUUUAUUGACAAUAUUAAUGAUAAAUAUAAAUGAUGAUAAUCCUUUACUAGAUUUAAAAUAAUAUUAUGAUAAAUUUAGUUAUCUAAUAUGAAGUUAUUCGAGGUUCAAAAUAUCAAUAAUAUAAAUUUAUAAUAUUAAUAAGGGAUUAUGAGUAUACUGUAAGAUUUUAUCUUUUCAAUGGAUAUGAGUUUUAAAAGAUGCAGAAGUUAAAGGAGAUUUGCUCAUGUUCAUGUGGAACUAAAUGAUUUUAUCAAGUAUUUAAGGUACGUCAAAAUUAAAUAUACACCAAAUACAAAGAUACAAAAUUAAUAAUUUAUUUAAGUUAGCUUUCUCAUUAGUACUGAUAGGGGUAAUAAUGGCGACAUGACGUGUCACGACGUCGGGCCCACCUGGGCGCCACUCUGUCCGAGAAGGAGGGCAAUAAUGCUGACUCGACAUGCGCUGACAUCAUCCGCUCUCAAACAAUGACUUCGUCGUCGUCUAACCCCGCGCGCUUAACCAAGGCAGAGGAGGACAACGACCAAAGCUCGCCCAUACCCUGCGGCAGUUCGGUUCUCCACGCAACGUCUAUAGCAACGUUAGAUGCCAUCAGAGGUACGACCCUGCCCCCCGCAGGCAGGCACAUCAGGUAACACUAAACCACCCUAUAAAUACCCCCCGAGUUCAAAACGAAGGGGGAGGACACUUCUUCACCAGAAAAACUACCUUCCACAUCAUCUGACUUGAUCGUCGGAGGGGUCGGGCCAAGCUUCUGACCCGACCUGUGUGCAGGAAUGAAGGCGAGGUCGCACCUUCGCCACGCUGCGCGGAGGCUUCACCCCCGCGCUACAUUCCAUCCGGACAACCGUGACGGGCCACCCCGACUGCCCCGAGGAGCGCCGCGCCGGAUCCCCACGCAUUCGAACCCGAACCAAGCCGCAUCGGCCCCGAGGCCACGGCUUACGGUUGUUUCCCACGACAAGUACUACAUAGUCAACAUCAUUUGGUCAAAUAGAUUUGGAAUGUUGGCCUUAGACACAUCAUUUUCUCUUUAUAUAUAUAGUUUUUCUAACACUUGUUUCUGUCAAUAGCGAUUCAUACGGAUUAUAUGAUUAAGUAAUAGAAGGUGCGGUUAGAUUAAGGGUGUUACCGUACAUGAGAUGGUUGCACAAAUCUCAAGCCCAUCAAACGGUGCAUCCGGGGUGCAAAAUAUUAGAAACAAAUAUCUAAAAAGAAAAUACAUGUGUCUUAACCAUAGUUAUAUACCUCUGGUGACUUGAACUCAAACAUGGGAUUUAGGACGACACUUUGGUAUGGGUUAGAAUUCAACGUGAAGAAAAAGGAGGUGAUUUCAUAGAAGCUGAUAUGAUAAAAGACCCCAUUGACGGUAGUAGACAAUGAAUAAAGUGAUAAUGCUAACACACACUGCAUGCCACACUAAACAAGGAUUACAGAUGAGACUCCACCCAAUAACAAAGACUCACUGAUGACAUACUCCGAUAUAUUAUUCCCAUAGCAGCUAUUAUUACUAGUAACUCUUAAAUGGCAUCAAACCUCACUCAAAUGACUUCACUCCGAGGCCACGGCCGGCUCCGCUGCAGCCUCCUCGGCGGCGGCCGGUGCAGCGGCUUCUUCGGUUGCCGCCUCCGGCUCCUCGACCGUCGGAUCCGUGGUCUCCUCAGCUACGGGAGCGGCGGCCUCGGGUUCAGCCUCCGGCUUUGCCUCCUCGGUAGGCUCCGCUGCUGCCGGUUCGGCCUCGGUGGCUACGGGCUCGGCCGCGGGCUCUUCAGCCGGCGUCUCCUCAUGCUCUGCUGCUGCUGCUGCUUCUUCUGCUGGGGUUUCUUCUUCUUCUUCUUUGGGCUCGUCGACGGCCGGAGCAGGAGCAGGUUCGGCCUCGACGGCCGGCGCAGGUGCAGGUUCGGCCUCGACGACAGUAGCAACCGGGACAUCAGCCGGAACCUCAACGACAGGAGCUGAUUCGACCUGCAUGAAGACAACAGAAGGAGACAUUUAGCUCUAACUCGGCCGUGCAUCGGUGUGGAUGACGACUGAGCAUGCAGAUCCAGGAGCUCUUCCUAGGAAUCACAUCUUUCUAGCAGAUCUAAAGUAGAUGCAGGCAGAGUUCAACCCUCACUCCAUCUACAACCGAGUGUUCCCGAGAAGAGAGAUAACAAGUGAGUUCAUGCUCUCUUCAGGUUCGGAUAGCUACACCAGACAUGAUCGAACCUGAGAUCAUCGAUCUGAUCUCAAGUAAACCCCCUCCCCCCACACACACAACACAACCUACUCUUUUGCUGAUCUGAUCUGAUCUCUAGGCAGGAGGAUCAUGACAGAAGCCAAUUGCAGCUGAUGGCUCAUAGGACAAGGUCGUGGCUCACCUCAACAGAAGCCAUGGGAGAAGGUGAGAAGAGCUGAAGGAGAACAAGAGUGGAGCGACAAGUGAUCUACCAAAGCAGUGGGGUGGGAGAGGUCAUUGGGGAUGGAAGGGUAUUUAUACAGAGAUGCAAUGGCACUCAGAAUCUUUACAGACAACCAGCCACGUACGAUUGGCUGGAUCACACCAUUAGUUUACUCUCCCAUCUCCGGUCAUCCACGCACCUUUUGCCCAUCAGUGUGUGUGUAUUAUUUUGCGUGAUGCACUCCCAGCUAUAAUGGAUUGAUAUGUGCACUCCCUCCAUCUUUGGAUAUAUGCUACUGUGUUGGUAAUAUGAACAGAAAUUAUCUUAGUAAUUCGCAAAUUAUGUAAACGCGAUGAAUUAUUAUUAUUAUUGACUAUAGUAAACAAGAUUACAUAAAAAAUCUCAUACGAUUUUG